UCUCCACAAUGGACGAAAGUCUGAUGGAGCAACGCCGCGUGAGUGAAGAAGGGUUUCGGCUCGUAAAGCUCUGUUGGUAGUGAAGAAAGAUAGAGGUAGUAACUGGCCUUUAUUUGACGGUAAUUACUUAGAAAGUCACGGCUAACUACGUGCC
This 154-nucleotide ribosomal RNA is filed under the name uncultured bacterium. RNAcentral's name for it is "partial 16S ribosomal RNA". It matches the Rfam family "Bacterial small subunit ribosomal RNA", at positions 363 to 509 of the family's 1533-position model. The record is from RNAcentral.